GGCAUAUGGAGGUUCCCAGGCUAGGGGUCUAAUUGGAGCUACAGCUGUUGGCCUAUACCAUAGCCACAGCAAUGCCAGAUCCAAGCCACAUCUGUGACCUACACCACAGCUGACUGCAAUGCUGGAUCCUUAACACACUGAGUGACGCCAGGGAUUGAACCUGCAACCUCAUGGUUCCUAGUCAAAUUCAUUUCUGCUACGCCAUGACAGGAACUCCAACAAUUAUUUUUGUUGGCCAUUUACUUUUCUCCACCUGUUUUUUCCCCCACCUAUAACGAUACUGCUAAGAACAUUCUUUUCCAUAUGCCCUAGUACAAAUGAGUGAUUUUUCUCCAUGGGAAGUUGUAAUUGCUGCAUAUACACAUCUUCCAAUUUACUAGCUUACCCUUAUAUUUUUCAGUACUCCUAUCAGCAUUUUAUGAGUUUGCAUCACACUAUAUUGCUAAAACACUUGCUAUUUUUCAGAUUUUAAUUUUUGCUAACCUAGAUGAUUUGAAAUAUGAUCUCACAGAGUGAUGGUAUCUAAUUAAUAAGCUUUUUAUAUGCUAAAAAAACCUUAAACGGCAUUAUUUAGUACUGGAAAAAUUGGUGGGUGUUGUCAGAAUAGUGUAUUUAAAAAGUGAAUUUUCCAAAAUAAAUAAUUAACCUUAAAAAAUGUCUUUACCAUUAUUAUGUGCUUUCCUCUUAUAGUGACACAACUGAAUGAUGCUCUAGGGGUGCCUGGGACUCACUAGGUUGUUUAUCCUUGUACUGCAUGGUCUCUGGUUACCUGAACAAUUUUUCCUUCUCUCUGGAUAGCAUUUGCUCAGGUUUCUCCCUCUCCUUGUUUCGUCACACUUAUUUCUUGUGUUGCCAGCAUCCUCUUAGUGGUGGUUUCCAAACAGCAGUGGGCUGGGAAACAAAAUAACUAAUCUUAACUUUAAAAAUUUGGCCCUGGAUUAUUGGGUGGGCUUUCUCCUUUUACUCCUCUUUUUGUUCUGCAGAGUGUGUCAGUUUAUAUUAUGCUGGUUUUAUCAGACAAGCUCUAUGGAAACUAUUUUAGUUGCCUAGAAAUAUUUUUCCCAUCUUUUUUCAGAGUUUAAAGUUUUACUGAAAGUAUAACUGAUUUACAAGGUCGUGAUGAAUUUUGCUGUACAAUAAAGUGAUUUGGUUAAUCCCUAGAAAUGUGAACUUGUUAGUGACUCAGCUCUGGAUAAAUGCUUAAAAAAAUUAAUGUGUUAAAAAAUGUUUUCAUGUCUGAUAAAACAAUUAUAAUAGUAUUCUUUAAGUGUUCCUUUUUAUUCAGAAGCCAAAAACUUUAUUUACUUUCACAUGCAUGUGAAGGUAUCAAUGAGUAUUUUUGGGGUUUUUUUUGCAUUUAUCACAUGCCUAUUUUUAUUUUCUGAAAAGGUUAAGUACUUAAUCAGAAAAUAAUUUUGUUAUAUCUAUUCUAUGCAUGAAAGAGAAAUUAUUUAAGAAGGAGUCAUUGACGUCUUAGCAUAAAGUAGCAGAGAACCUGACAGAGCUCUAAGUUCAGACUUUCAUCUUCCUGUUACAGUCUUGCAACCCUAGUGAGUACUAUAGACUUAGUGAGACUUAGUGACAAAAAGAAAUGACUACCUACUUAGCAAUUGCUCUCAUAGCCAGAUACAUGAGUGCCUGAUUUCUCCCUGCCCUAAAUUUAUCAUUAAAUGUGCCUAAGUAGACUUAUCAGAAUCCUCAAAGAACUCUGCUCAGGGAAUAGACUAUGUGUAAAAUAAGUUGAUUUAUUAAUCAAUACAUCAAUGACUAGCAUCAAUCCAAAGAUAGUUAUCUACCAUGUUGCCUAUUUAAUUUAUGAAUUUUCUCUAACAAUUUUUGAGUUCUACAAAGAUUUAUUCAACUUUAAUUCCCAGGCCCACCUGUCCUGGUAAAUAUAAGAGGCAACACAUUUUAAUCAUACAGUAAGAAACAUCUAACAAAAACAAGUUAUGAUACAUAAAACAAUAUGUUGCAUCAUAUCCUCCUUUGGAUAACAAUAAAUCCUCACUUAUGUCAAUCAAAAUAUAAAUGCUUCAGUUUCUCUCAAGAAUGUAAAUGAAACAUCCUAGGGGAUUAUGAAGCAAGGAAACUGCAUAAAGCUUUUCUUAAGCAUGUUGAAUAAUAAAAAUAAAUUUGUUUAAUUUCAAGUGCAUUGUAUAUUACUUAAGUACACAUUAAUACAACUUAUUUUUCAAAUAUCUUUAAAAAUAUUUUUGGGGGAAAUGAAAAUUCAUUAUCUACUUAUGCAAGUGGUAAAUGAUAGAUUUUCUAUCCAGAUGAGUCUAAUAUUUAUAGAAAUGAGUUUUCUAUACAAGCAUUUCUUUCUCUGCUUCCAGAAGAAUAACAUUUCUUGAAGUUUGGAAUUUAAAAUUGGAAAAUAAACUCUCACAAGCCAAGUGAUUCCUUUACUUAUAUUCUGGGUUUAAAAGGUAAAAGCUCUGUUUUAGCCCAAAAAGAUUGUCUUUUCUCAUAUGCUUCUUGGGCAUAUUAUUGUAAUUUGAAAAGAGAUUCUUAAAAUAGAGGCAAUAAAACUGUUUCUGCUUGCAUGCUGUGAAAUUCUCCCCACAAGGCUUUAAAUUGAACUUGCUCAACAGGCAGAGAGAACCGCCUUCUUUCUUCAAAGACAUAAGAGGAUUUGUUCAGUAAAAGGAAAAGGUCUAACAGCAUUCUCUGAAAGGGACACAUUGAAUGCGCCUGUGAUUGCCGCUCCCAUCAACUCUCCUCCUCUAUCAUCAGAACACGCCAGAGAAGCAAAAUGUGUGCAACUGACAAGGGAGAGUCAGUUAAAGCACAAGCUAACCUAACUGCCUACAAAAAAAAAAAAAAAAAA
Molecule: long non-coding RNA, 2830 nt
Filed under: Sus scrofa (pig)
Lineage: Eukaryota; Metazoa; Chordata; Mammalia; Artiodactyla; Suidae
Description: lncRNA (ENSSSCG00050044264.1)
Source: RNAcentral